This is a long non-coding RNA of Glycine soja, 2735 nucleotides long. RefSeq lists it as uncharacterized. The record is from RefSeq and is a predicted model, not a curated record. The transcript has 7 exons. Lineage: Eukaryota; Viridiplantae; Streptophyta; Magnoliopsida; Fabales; Fabaceae.
CUUUUUUUUUUAAAAAAAGGAAAAUGUGAUUCUGAACUAUGAAGUACAGAGCGUUUGUUUCUGGUUUUUGGAUACUGCCACUCUUUCACGGUGAAAUUCAAGCUCGUUUUCCUUUCAACUCAAAAUCCCUAAUCAUCAACACGAAGGGUUUGUGGACCAAAACGCUGCGUUUCCAUUUCACUCACAAUCUCAAGCUAACCCAGCUCUAUCUUAUGGCGUAUCAGAUGGAAGUAUUUGCUUUGCAAAUUGUGGCUUAAAUGGUUGCUGGAGAUGAAGAAAAAAGGUUAUUGGAUUGAAGAGUUUCUGUGUAUUUUUUGGGCAGGUAGAGAUAAUGCAGGAAAUUUCCAUCAUUGCUUCAAAAGGAUUAGCAGAAGUCAUGUUUUCGAGUCCUUUCAAGGAGAACCAUUGAGGUGCUCUAUCAUUAGCUAGACUAUCAUGGAUGUUGAGGCAGUAGACGAAGGAGAAAACAGUGAUAGACCUGUUUCUGAAAAUGUUGAAACUGGAAAAGGCCAGGAACAAAAUAUGACUGUAAACUUGGCUGAAAGAGAAGUGAAUAAUCAGAAUGGUGAUGCAUAUAGGAAACCACAAGUGGGCAUGCUGUUUGAAUCUGAAGAUGCUGCAAAAUCUUUUUAUAAUGCAUAUGCAAGACAUGUAGGAUUUAGCACCCAUGUUGGUCAAUUCAAUCGUGCUAAGCCUGAUGGUCCAAUUAUAACUUGGGAUUUUGCGUGUUCCAGGGAGGUAUUUAAAAGGAAGAACAUAGUUAGUUGUAAUGCAGUGCUUAGGGUGGAGAGAAAGAUGCAAACUGUGGAUAGUUACAAAAUUUGUUGAGGACCAUUGAGGAUUUUGAAUCAACAUGGAAGUCUCUUCUGGAUAAAUAUGAUCUCCAGAAAAAUGAUUGGCUUCAAGCAGUGUAUAAUGCUCGCAAACAAUGGGCCCCUGUUUACUUUCGUAAUACUUUGCUGCAAUUACUUCGAACCAUGGGGUUAGCUCCUUUUCUGAUGGAUAUGUAAAUCAACAGACAAUCAUACCCUUAUUCUUUAGGCAGUAUGAAAGAUCUCUUGAACAUUCAUUGGAAAAAGAAAUAGAAGCAGAUUAUGAGACUAUUUGUAACACACCUGUACUGAAGACUCCAUCACUAAUGGAACAACAAGCAGCAAAUAUGUACACUAAGAAGAUUUUUGCAAAAUUUCAGGAGGAACUGGUGGAAACUUUUGCUUAUACUGCAAAUAAUGUUGAGGAUGAUGGUGUGAUCAGUAAAUACAGGGUUGCAAAAUAUGUACAUGAUCACAAGGCAUACAUGCUCACAUUAAAUAUCUCUGAAAUGAAGGUGAAUUGCAGCUGCCAGAUGUUUGAAUACUCAGGCGUUCUUUGUUGACAUAUAUUGACUGUCUUCACUGUUACAAAUGUUCUUACCCUUCCAUCGCACUACAUUUUGAAACGAUGGACAAGGAAUGCAAAAUCUGAUCUUGGAACUGAUGAAAAAAUAACAGAUCCAAUUGACAUUGAAAAUCUCACUGUACGUUUUAAUAGUUUAUGUCGAGAAGCCAUUAAGCUUGCUGAAGAAGGAGCAGUUUCUGUAGAGACUUAUAAUGCAACAAUGAAUGCUUUAAGAGAGGGGGCUAAAAGGGUAGGUAUUAUGAAAAAAAAUGUUGCAAAAGUCACACCUCCAAACACUCAGGGUAAUGGAAGCUGCCUGAAAGACCAUAGCAAGAAUAGCCCUUCAUCAAUUUCUGAUGUCAUCCCAUCAUUAUGGCCUUGGCAAGAUUCAGUGUCUCAUCACUUCAAUCUUAAUGACCUGGGGCUUCCUGUUACUGAUUUGAAUACCCCUAGUAUGGCUCCUGUUUCUAUUCACCGGGAUGGUGGCCCUCCAGAUAACACUAUUGAUUUGAAUCACCCUUGUAAUUAUUAGUUUAUUUGGUUCAGAUAUACUGGUCAUUGCUUUAAUUGACUAUCAUUUAUCGAUGCAGGUUGUCCUUACUUGUUUCAAGUCUAUGACUUGGAUCAUCUCAAAUAAGAAUUCAAGCUCAUCCAGUAAAAUUGCAGUCAUCAACAUGAAGUUGGAAGAGAUCAGUCUAUGUCCAGAUAUCCGUUUAACAUUCAUGUUCUCUGCUGAAAAUAUUAACAAUCUAGCUUCAAGAUUAUGGUAAGGGCCCUUUAGGAGAGACAGAAGUGCAAUUCAGGGUGACAAGGGUCACUUUGGAGCCUAUGUUGAGGUCUAUGACUUACAUCAGUCAACAGCUAAAUGCACCAGUCAAUAGAGUUGCUAUCAUCAAUCUGAGGCUCCAGGAUACAAAGACAACUACUGGGCAAACAGAGUUGAAAUUCCAAGUUUCUAGAGAUACGUUGGGUUCCAUGCUGAGAUCUGUGACCUAUAUCCAGGAGCAGCUAUAAGAGUUUUCCUAUAAAUUAUGGAUGGCUAGCAGUGACCCUAGUGCAGUAUAGUCUAACAUCCAUAUCCUGAAGUACUUAUUAUUCUGUGAAGGUUUGCCAUUUUUUAUGUACCUAGUGACCCUUUAUUUAAUAUUUCAUGGUGUAAGUAGCCCAGGAAUCUCUAGUAUUUGAUCCAUAAAAAAAUUUUAUAGUAGAGUUGGAUAGGUUUUUUUUCGCAUUCUUUCUCACCUUUACCUCAGAUUAUACACCAUUUCCAUUAUGGAAAUUUAUUUUGUACAUAGAGACUUCUGAAGAUCAAGAAUAUCUCUUAGGAGCAUUGCGGAUGUCUAAUUUGUUUUUCGGCC